Pelobates cultripes (western spadefoot toad) is the source of this 212-nucleotide non-coding RNA. The record is from the annotation of a GenBank genome assembly. Lineage: Eukaryota; Metazoa; Chordata; Amphibia; Anura; Pelobatidae.
AGAAUAUUCUCACUUACAUAAACAGCUACCUUCAGCUCGGUACUUGCAACCGCAAAGAGCUACAGUCCCUGCUGGGGUCACUAAAUUUUGCUAUGCGCCUCAUACCUCAAGGCCGCUCCUUUAUAUCACGACUAUUGCAUCUUUUCCCACAUUUCCUACAUGACACGCACAGGUUGUCCUUAGAUACCCAAGCUACGGCAGAUCUAAACACG